GUGACUUGUUAUAUCUCCACAAUGCUUGCAGCAUCCGACACUGAUAGCACAGACCUCGAUGAGCCCGUAGAAUCCUCCAACACGGGAUCUAUCGACCUAGAUCCUUUCGACUAUGUCUACUCGAACAUCCCAGACAGCACGCACAUCCUGAAGCACGCGGCAAACUGCGACCAUUGCAAGGCCAAGAAGUUCCAGUACGAGACUAACGGCUUCUGCUGUCGGAACGGGGAGAUUGAGCUAGCUGAA
This 246-nucleotide ribosomal RNA is filed under the name Triticum aestivum (bread wheat). Its description in RNAcentral is "partial small subunit ribosomal RNA". The record is from RNAcentral. Lineage: Eukaryota; Viridiplantae; Streptophyta; Magnoliopsida; Poales; Poaceae.